GCUUGAGGGGCCGUGGCGGCGCUGGGAACCACCCCCUCCCCCCAAAAAAUCCCCCCCCUCCCCAGGGGAGAAGGCGCCGAAGCCCAAGAAGGCGGCGCCGGUGGGGAAGAAGAAGAGGAAGAAGAAGGGCUCCGAGGACGAGGCCUUCGAGGACAGUGACGACGGGGACUUUGAGGGGCAGGAGGUGGAUUACAUGUCCGACGCCUCCAGCAGCUCGCUGGAGGAAGAGGUGGGGAAGCCCAAGGUGACGAAGGAGGACGAUGGACCCAAAGGCAUCGACGAGGCGAGCGAGAGCAGCGAGGAGAGCGAGGAGGAGAAGGCGGCGGAGGAGAAGGAGGAGGAGGAGGAGGAGAAGAAGGCCCCGACGCCGCAGGAGAAGAAGAAAAAGAAGGACAGCAGCGACGAGUCGCAGACCUCGGAGGAGAGCGACAUCGACAGCGAGACCUCCUCCGCCCUCUUCAUGGCGGUGAGUGAGUGGGUCCCACCAACCCCGGGGAGGGGAUUUUGGGGAGGGGGGGGGGCGGGGGGGUCCCUGGAGCUUCCCCCAUGACCUUCUUGCCCCCCCCCCCCCAGAAGAAGAAGACCCCCCCGAAGAGGGAGCGCAGGGGCUCGGCCAGCAGCUCGAGGGGCAACAGCCGCCCGGGGACGCCCACGGAGCCCGGCAGCACCAGCUCCACGCUGCGGGCGGCCGCCUGCAAACUGGAGCAAGGUGGGACACGGGGGGGUUAGUUCUGAGACACCCCCUCCCCUUCCGACCCCAGGGGUUAUUUGGGGACGCUCCUGGGGGUUUGGGGCAAAUCUGUAGGGUCUUGGGGGCAGAU
This 821-nucleotide long non-coding RNA is filed under the name Calidris pygmaea (Spoon-billed sandpiper). RNAcentral's name for it is "lncRNA (ENSCPGG00000017160.1)". The record is from RNAcentral. Lineage: Eukaryota; Metazoa; Chordata; Aves; Charadriiformes; Scolopacidae.